RNAcentral lists this transfer RNA (77 nucleotides) under Caudoviricetes sp. RNAcentral describes it as "tRNA-Lys". It matches the Rfam family "tRNA". From Rfam's summary of the family: Transfer RNA (tRNA) molecules are approximately 80 nucleotides in length. Their secondary structure includes four short double-helical elements and three loops (D, anti-codon, and T loops). Further hydrogen bonds mediate the characteristic L-shaped molecular structure. tRNAs have two regions of fundamental functional importance: the anti-codon, which is responsible for specific mRNA codon recognition, and the 3' end, to which the tRNAs corresponding amino acid is attached (by aminoacyl-tRNA synthetases). tRNAs cope with the degeneracy of the genetic code in two manners: having more than one tRNA (with a specific anti-codon) for a particular amino acid; and 'wobble' base-pairing, i.e. permitting non-standard base-pairing at the 3rd anti-codon position. The record is from RNAcentral. Lineage: Duplodnaviria; Heunggongvirae; Uroviricota; Caudoviricetes. RNAcentral also lists the same sequence under 1 other name.
GCGUCGGUAGCUAAACUGGAUAAGGCAUCUCGCUUUUAACGAGAGGACUAAAGGUUCGAAUCCUUUCCGGCGUACCA